GGGGAGGUCCAUUUUAAAAAAUAAUAUUAAAAUAUGAAUAAAUUUGAAAUGCCUCAUAGAGUAUCUCUGUGAUUUUAUGUUACCCACGGGACUGUGGUUAAAUAUGUGGGAAAGAACUACAGGACAGUU
Molecule: small nucleolar RNA, 129 nt
Organism: Colobus angolensis palliatus
Lineage: Eukaryota; Metazoa; Chordata; Mammalia; Primates; Cercopithecidae
Source: Ensembl